CAAGUUACACCACACAGACUCAAGCCUAGAUACCAUAAGCCUGUCAUCCUCAUCUCUUGAUGAGAGCCCCCAUGGUAGUAAAACUCGUCAACUGCCCCAGCCAUUUGUCAUUCCUGCCUUUUCUUUUGAUGUCGAGAUGAAACUGAAGCAAGGAAACGAGGCUUACCACAGAGAUGGGACCCUUCUUGACAUAUCAAAAGACAUGAAAUCAGACAUCUUGGAUAAGUUGGCAGAAGCCAUAUAUGUCCACAGCCCCUACCCAAAACCUGACGAGUAUGAUCAUGUGGCCCAAGCUCUCAUCAACAGGCAUCCUUGUCUGAAGGAACCAGGGUCUGUGAAUGGAUGGUACUGUUGGAAGUUCAGUUUAAAGUUUAAAAUGGGCAAUUUCCGACAGAAGCUGCGAGUGGCCGGGUGCUCUGAGCUCAAAGUAAAUUUGCGCUCGCGUACCUCUAGUCCAGCUGGGUCAAGAAAAGUGAAGAGGGCCAAAAAGGCAGAAGUGAAUUUCCUGCCAGAUUUUCCAGAAGGGAAAACACAAAGUAAUCUUGACCAGGACAGAUCAGCCAUGGUCAUUGAGAUGAAAAAAAGAAAAGUUGACUGGAAGCAAAUUGGUAAAAUGAUGAAUAACACAUUCCCUUUACGAAGAAAAGAGAUUGUUGAAGAAGAACCUCUUGUGGCUCAAGUCAAAGAAAGAUGGCCAGCAUUGUUCUCUGAACAGCAGAUUGAAGACGAAUUUGCUCGCCUUACAUCUGUAGACCUGAAAGACUCGCUCUUUGCUGGACUUGAGAAGUACCUGGCAGGGUUCCUUGAGCUGUACAAAGCCAAGAGUGGCAAGUGAGGCUGACCGAGCUCCAAAGACAGCUUGAUGACAAUAGUUCCUCACUCAAUAAGAAGACGAUUCUUCUGCUGGGCCUUCCUCAUUUUCUCAAAGAAGAUCCCUCAUGCUUCUUCAAGACUGUGGAGGCCACAGAUGAUGAGGACAUGUUCACCAAAGGGAUGAAAGUUGGGAUUGUGAUGGUGAAAGAAGGAGAAGACCUCAUUGAUGUGUCAGUUGUCCUUGAGGAGGCAGUAACCCUGUGUGGUCUGAAGGACGUCCCAAGUGCCAUGGCCAUGCUGAUGGGCCUUAUUUUUUCCAUCAAUAUAGACUAUCCAAAGGAACUGAGGUACACAUUUGAAGUCAUUCAGAAGGUCCUCAUGAACAUCGGUGGAGAGCAGUGUUCCUCAGUUGUGAAUGGUCUGAAAAACAGACUGCUGCGGAAAACCAUGUAACCCUGAACUCUGAUGGCUCAUCUCAUGCAAAGUCAUUUUGUUUUUUGCACAUUAAUAAGUAAGUAAACUAAGUUAGACUUUUGAAUGUCUGCAUCUUUUUAAGUUGAAAAAUGAAAACAUUCCA
This is a long non-coding RNA of Myripristis murdjan (pinecone soldierfish), 1390 nucleotides long. RefSeq lists it as uncharacterized. Lineage: Eukaryota; Metazoa; Chordata; Actinopteri; Holocentriformes; Holocentridae. The record is from RefSeq and is a predicted model, not a curated record. The transcript is spliced from 4 exons.